AGAGUUUGGAUCCUGGCUCAGAUUGAACGCUGGCGGCAUGCCUUACACAUGCAAGUCGAACGGCAGCGCGGGAGCAAUCCUGGCGGCGAGUGGCGAACGGGUGAGUAAUACAUCGGAACGUGCCCAAUCGUGGGGGAUAACGCAGCGAAAGCUGUGCUAAUACCGCAUACGAUCUACGGAUGAAAGCAGGGGACCGCAAGGCCUUGCGCGAGUGGAGCGGCCGAUGGCAGAUUAGGUAGUUGGUGGGGUAAAGGCUCACCAAGCCGACGAUCUGUAGCUGGUCUGAGAGGACGACCAGCCACACUGGGACUGAGACACGGCCCAGACUCCUACGGGAGGCAGCAGUGGGGAAUUUUGGACAAUGGGCGCAAGCCUGAUCCAGCCAUGCCGCGUGCAGGAUGAAGGCCUUCGGGUUGUAAACUGCUUUUGUACGGAACGAAAAGUCUCCUUCUAAUAACAGGGGGAUCAUGACGGUACCGUAAGAAUAAGCACCGGCUAACUACGUGCCAGCAGCCGCGGUAAUACGUAGGGUGCAAGCGUUAAUCGGAAUUACUGGGCGUAAAGCGUGCGCAGGCGGUUAUGUAAGACAGUUGU
RNAcentral lists this ribosomal RNA (594 nucleotides) under uncultured beta proteobacterium. RNAcentral describes it as "bacterial SSU rRNA". It matches the Rfam family "Bacterial small subunit ribosomal RNA", at positions 8 to 595 of the family's 1533-position model. Lineage: Bacteria; Pseudomonadati; Pseudomonadota; Betaproteobacteria. The record is from RNAcentral.